GUCUCUGCUCCUCCGAACUCUCCCUCUCCGACCUUCCCUUUUCCUCUCCGCCACCGCCAACGCCGCCGUUCUCUUCCUCUUACCCAAGCUGAGAAACCCACUUCCCCGAACCCGAAGAACCUUCUCCAAUUCCACCGCCGCAGCCACCUCCAUCGACUCCGUAGUGAAACCGCCUCCUCUUCCUCUUCCUCCGUCUCUUCUCAGGUGGGUUUCUCGCACAGAGCUUUGCGGUGAGUUAUCAGUCGAAGACGUUGGAAAAAGAGUCCACCUUUGCGGGUGGGUCGCCCUCCACCGAGUCCACGGAGGUCUCACUUUCCUUAACCUUAGAGAUCAUACAGGCAUUGUCCAGGUCUUCCAUCUCAACUAAAGUCUUCAACUUUGUAUAUUAGUAUUUAGAAAGUUUCUUCUUACCAAUGCACUUAAGUUGUGUUCGAUUCUAUUCAUUUUGGGACUUUAUGUUUUGUUAAUGUUCGAAAGUUUUAUAAUUAUUAGGUUAGGACGCUUCCUGAUGAGUUUCCUGAGGCGCACGGGUUGAUCAAUGACAUGAGACUUGAGUACGUUGUUUCAGUGGAAGGUACUGUUCGUGCUAGACCAAAUGAGUCCAUCAACAAGAAAAUGAAAACAGGAGUUGUUGAGGUAUAUGCUUUCUCUUCUUUCAUUCAGCUCACUAUAUGUUUUGGUCUUUCUGAAAGUUAGUAGGUUGUUGCAUUAGGUAGUUGCAGAGCAUGUUGAAAUAUUGAAUCCUGUGAGGUCAAAGCUUCCCUUCCUCGUUACUACUUCUGACGAGACAAAAGAUUCGAUUAAAGAAGAUAUUCGCUUAAGGUGAAAUAUUAGCUAUCUUUCAUGGUUGGUCUUUUUUUUUUGCUUUGAAGCUCCAAGUGCUUAAAUGAUGCUUUUGGAUUUUGUUUGUUUAUUGGUAGGUUUCGAUGUCUUGAUCUACGCCGUCAGCAGAUGACGAAUAAUAUUGUUCUUCGCCAUAAUGUGGUAAAACUGAUUAGGAGGUAUCUAGAAGACUUGCAUGGGUUUAUUGAGGUACUUCCUUCUCCAUUUGAAAGAGGGUCUGCACAGUUCUUUUGGUCUUACCUAGUUUUUGUUUUUCAUCUUGGUUUGUUGUUUGUGUUAGAUUGAAACUCCAAUACUCUCUAGAUCAACUCCAGAAGGCGCUCGAGAUUAUUUGGUUCCCUCAAGAAUUCAGGUGCAUUUGUACUUCUUUUUAUCUUGAUUUAUUCGCUUUAGAGAAUGAAGAAGCUUUAAUCAUAGUUUAUAGACUGAUUCUAUCAAAUGUCUCUUUCGAAGUCAGGAACAUUUUAUGCUUUGCCCCAAAGUCCUCAGCUCUUCAAACAAAUGUUAAUGGUCUCUGGGUUUGACAAGUAUUACCAGAUAGCAAGGUAUGUAUGAAUAUGAUCUUUGGCUCUAAAGCAUGGUCUAGAAUAAGACUCCCUAGCAUACGUGGCGCAUCAUGCAAAUGAUUUUUCUUUGGUACUUAUCAGAUGUUUUAGAGAUGAAGAUCUAAGAGCUGAUAGGCAACCUGAAUUCACUCAGCUUGAUAUGGAAAUGGCUUUCAUGCCUAUGGAGGACAUGCUCAAGCUGAAUGAGGAUCUUAUUCGUAAGGUAAGGGCUCCAUUGAGCUAUGUUGAUGAUGUUUUAAUCUUGUUACUUCGUAAUGUGUUUUGCGUCCUGUAAUUCUGUUCCUCAUUUUCUUCGUGAAUCUCUUCACUUUAGUGAUAUUUUGGUAGUGCGUUAGAGAGCUAUUUUCCAUAUUUUGUACAGAAGCUGUGAAGUCUAUUUUAAUGUUUAAACUCCCAAGUUUUUGAAAUUGCAGGUGUCAAAUGCUUUCACAGAAUCGUCUUUCAGGGUUUUCACGGAGACCCUUGAAAGUGUUAUGUGUACCUUUGGGUGCUAAAAAAUAUUCAAACUCAGCUCUCAAAAAAGGAGAUGUUUACAAUGAAGCAAUAAAAUCUGGAGCGAAGGGUCUACCGUUCUUGAAGAUCCUGGAUAAUGGUAAAUAGAUAUAUCAUGCCUACUGCUAUAUCUCUGUCAUUCUUUUAUAGUAACAUUCAGUUCUGAUUAUAUCUAAACUUCUGAUGCAGGCGAGGUCGAGGGAAUUGCAGCAUUAGUGUCUAGUUUAGACCCAGAGGGUAAAGCAAACAUUGUGAGACAAUGUGGAGCAAAGCCUGGUGACCUUAUUUUAUUUGGAGUUGGUCCUGUUACUUCUGUUAAUAAGACCCUAGACAGGUUAAGACUUUUUGUUGCCCAUGACAUGGAUUUGAUUGACCAUGUAAGUUCCUCAAUUAUCCAGUCCAUUUUUUUCUCUCUCUUAAUGAUAUUUUAUAAGAUUAAUGACAUAUCAUGUUUUAUUAUAUAGUCCAAGCACUCCAUUCUGUGGGUAACAGACUUCCCAAUGUUCGAGUGGAAUGAACCAGAGCAGAGGCUUGAGGUCUGUGAGUUCUUAAUCUGAUAUCUUUGCAUGAGAUGAGAUUAAUGGCCAAAUAUGUUGUUUGCUAAUAUGAAAUUACCUUUUCUCUCCAGGCAUUACAUCAUCCAUUCACAGCUCCUAGGCCUGAAGAUAUAGAUGACUUACCUUCUGCAAGAGCUCUCGCUUAUGACAUGGUCUACAAUGGGGUCGAGGUAAACAAAACAGCUUGGCCAUUUACUUUUUUAUGAAACAAUGGUUUGGGAGAUUUCUUUGAUACGCUGUCUUAAUUUAUAAUAGAUUGGUGGAGGAAGUUUAAGGAUAUAUAAGCGGGAUGUCCAAGAAAAGGUUUUGGAGAUCAUUGGCAUCUCAGCUGAAGAAGUGAGACUCAUUUUCUAAAUUGACAUCUACAGAUUGUAAGCCUUGUCUCAUGUUUUCUUUUCCCUGCAAACAGGCUGAAGCGAAGUUUGGCUAUCUUCUGGAGGCUCUUGACAUGGGUGCUCCUCCUCAUGGUAUGUAAAUUUACACAGGCUUCAUUGAUUCAACGUGUCCUUUCAUGUGUCGGGAUAUUUAACGUACACCAUAAUCAACCCGUCACUUUCUGCCUUGGAUCUUUAAGGAAAAAUGGGAUUAAAUUUGUCUGACACUUUGUUCAAUAACUUGAUGGCACUCUUGUGAUGAUGCUGUUGCUGAAGAAGAUUGUUCAAGCAUGGUUGAUGAAGCAUUAGUAUUUGAUAUGUUAUUUCAGGUGGAAUUGCUUAUGGAUUGGAUAGGAUGGUGAUGAUGCUGGGAGGUGCGAGUUCCAUAAGGGAUGUAAUAGCUUUCCCAAAGACAACCACAGCGCAGUGUGCCUUAACCAGAACUCCCUCUGAAGUCGAUCCAAAGCAGCUCCAAGAUCUCUCCAUCCGCACCAAAUAAUAGCUCUGAGAAGAUGAUCAAGUAGAGAUGUGGUAAUAAUAGUAUAUCGGAGGCAAACCUCUUGUCCACAUCUUCUAUAUAUCCUUAACACCAUUGGUUAUUGAUUUUACAGAAAUUUGUAUGGAUAUUAGUAUAUUACUUUUUGAAACGAUAUUUGAAGAGUUCCCACUUGAACAUAAAAGAUAAAAAAAUUACCCACAAUAAAUUUUUUGAGUUGCUGAUUAUUGAUGUAUCUUAUCUAUACUACAACACGUGGAUCUUGUUCAGAUAUUCAUGUCUUCCUACGGGUGGAGAGAGAGGGAAAACAGACUGAGCUUCGAUAAAUCUACAGAGAGAGUUUAUAAUAAGGGAACAAAGAGGGCAAACUUUGGAGAAAAGAAAGAGUGCAAAGGACAUUGGCAAGGCCCAGACAGAAGAGGGUCAACUGGUCAAGCGAAGACUACUCCCUCAUUUUAUUAUUUAUUUAUUGGGGAAUUAAUUUACAAUUAUUGACAAAAUUUUAUAUAAAUAUUUGCUGUGAUAAUUAUGUAAUCUUUUGAAAUAUCCUCAAUUAUCAGAACUCAUUCUAAAUUUGUAAUCGUGAAACUGAAAAUAAUUUUGGAAAAAAAAACAUGUCAUUUUUUUGUUUGGAAUGGUGAAUCCUCUAUGUAGAUGUAGUACGUAGAUAUUGUUCCUGGUUAUAAUAGCACAACCUUGUAUGUCUUGAAAAAGGAUUUAUAACAAAAAUAUACAUUUCCAAACAAAAAAAAUCUUUAGAUGACAAAACCUAAAAUUAAAUAGAACUAUAAAGGCAUGAUCACUGAUAAAAGAAAUAUUUUAAUAUAAUAUAAUAUUAAUAAAUAAUAACGAAUAAUUAUAUUAAAAUAAGUAGGUUAAUUUUAAACUAAAAGAAAAUUUGUACAAUUACAGAAUGGAAGUUUCUAGCAAAAUUUUAAAGUAUCUAAAUUAAAACCCGUUUUUCAUAUUUCUCUUACUUUUUUUUCAGAAAGUAAUUCCACGAAAUCCAAUGAGAAACUUCCGUUAUUAGUAUCCUUAGAUAUUCAAUUAAUCUGAUUAAGAUGCUUUGUAAGAGAAUGAUUUCAGCAUUGAAAACUUAAUAUGUGUAUGAGUCAUUCUUGAAGUGGUCAAAGUGGACUAGACAAUGGAUCAAGACCACAACAGUCUAAGAAAUAUAUUUGUUGAUUGAGCAGGUAGUAGUACACAUUUGAUAUAUCGUCUUAUUUGUGCUCUUUUUUUUUAGGGUCAACCUGCUCUCUUUUUUUAAUAAAACAUAUGUAUUUUCUAAUUCCAAUUAAUGAGACCAAACUUUUAUUUUUGGUUCAAAGAUAGGAGAAUUUUCUAUAACUUACACAAAAUCAAAACAUAGGAAAAUUAGUUGAUGUCCCACACCAUGUGCAGACUAAUAUAUUUAUAUAUCUAAUAAUUUUUAAUUCUAAUAUUUAUUUUUAAUAAUUUCGAUACAAAUUUAGAUUAAUAUUAAAAUUAUAAAACUUCAAUAUUCAUACUGGUAAUCAAUGUGUUAAAUUACCUUCUUUUGUUUCAUAUUUUUAUUUAUGGGAUGUGGAUUUUGGAUCAAAAAUAUUUUCUAUAGUAAUAAUCAAAUUAGGAAACUUGGAUUUGAAAUUAAAUACUUAUUGUAUUUGGACUGAAUGUAUUAUAAUUAAUUAUAACCUAUAAAAUGUUAACAAAAUAACAAUAGCCUAGAAGUAUUCAAUCCGGUAAAACUGAACCAUUUAAAACCGAACCAAAAUGAAGUAAAUAGUUUUGAUUUGGUAGUAUCAAAUAAACCAAAUGCGUAUUAUUUUGAAAACUCUAGUAUAUGGACAUGGUUUAGGAUAUUAACCCAUCCAACCGAAUAAACCGAUUAAUUAAAAUAUAUUAGUAUAUUUAUAUAUAAAUUUAUAAUAAUCUGUAUUUUGAACAAUAUUUUCAAUAAAAAACAGAAAAUUGGCUAUAAUAAUAGUCAUUAAAACCAUAAACUAAAUAUAAGAUUAACAUAAUUAUGAUACUAUAUGUAGAUACUAUUAAUAUCAAUUGUUAAUAUAUAUUUAAUUAAAUGUUUUAAAUAUCAUAAUAAUUAUAUAUUAGAAUUUUAAAAAUAAUAGUAUAUAUAUAGGUAGAAUAGGUUAAUAUUUAUUAAUUAUCUUAAAAUAUUAUGAUAAAUUUAUAUAUUAAAAUAAAAAAAUUAAAUAAUAUUAUAAGUUAAACUAAUGACUUAUCCUAAAAUUACGGAGAAUAUGACAACUAAACAAAUUCACUAAGAUCAUGGAAAAUAUGAUAAGGAAGUAAAUUCACUUAUCAAAUAAUAGUAUAGAUUUCUCAUUGUGUCACGUUUUCAAUUGACUAUAACUUACACAAUUUCAAAACUUCGCAGAAUUUUAACUUUAUCCUAAGUUUGCUGCCAAUUUUCAAAUUUACUUUUGUUUGAAAGAUAGCUAUUUUCAUAUAUACCUUAAAUCUGUGAUAAUAUUAAAAUAACUUUCCUAAAACAUUUAUAAAUAUUAAAUAAUAAUUUAUAAAAGUUAAUAAACCCAAUCACACCUUUAAAUACUAAAAAUCCUAAACACAAAUGUUAGAGUAUUUGAUUAAAAUUUUUUUUUGAGAAGUGGUAAUCGGCAUAUUUUAAUCAAUUUCUCUCAAAACAUUGUGAAAUGUACGCACGUUAUCUAUGCUUUUAGACAGGUCCGGCUCUGGCCCAGUGCUGGAGGUGCAUUUGCACAGGGUCCAUUUUUUUUUUAACUUUUUUCAGCUUAGUUUAGGAUCCUGUUAAAAAAAGUUUUUGUAUAAAGAAAUAGGUGUCAAAAUUUGUGUAGUACAUGACCUAUUUUAUGUUUGAGACGGGCUUGGUUUUAGAUGUGCAAAAGGUGAUAUAUAUGUUUUUUUUUUUUUAACUGAGGUGAUAUAUAUGUUCGUAGAGCUGACAGUGAUGACUAUCUAGGACAGCUAGGGGGGAUGGAACAAUAUUUCUAAAAUUAUUAGUUUUGGCUGUGGAUUAUAUAUUUUAGAGUAAAAAACUUGUAUUUUUGGUUCAAAGAUCGAUUUCUUCCAUCAAUCGCCUAGUUCUCGAUAACCAAGGUGAUGAAAUAAUAGCUAGUUCAGAAUUAUGUAUUUCUAGAAAAAAAAAACAGCAAAAUGAAAACGGUACAUCGAUCUAUAUUAGAAAACAUAUUAUAGAGAAAAUAAAAAUUAAGCUAAACGUUUGGAAACUCUUUAAAAAGGAUUCAACUAAUGGUUUGGAAACGCUUUCAUCAAAAUGCAGCUAACGAUUUUGAAAUUCUUGGCAUAUUAUCACAACUGAAAAAAAGGAGACUUGUACAUACUACAUAGCAAACAAAGCAAGUGCAUGCCGUAGCAUUGCAGUUUUCUUAUUCCAUUAUAGAAACACACGCAUAAAUAUGGUACAAAAGACGACCGGACCAAACAAACCAAUCAUUAUUAGCUUAUAUAUGAACAACAUAGAAACAAACAAUAAACACAUAGACUUGGAAACAUAUUCAAAGGAGGGGGGAUCAUAGGUUAUUUCCUUUUAGUAAGGCCACUGGCCAACAAUGUUACCGGGAGGAUCAUAGUUGCAAGUAAUAUAGGUUCCACCACUGAUGCAGCUCACUUUUGCGAGUCUGCCCAAUGGUAUCGAUAAGAGCCUGAGGUACCGGAACCAAGUGAUCAUCUUCUACAUUCUCAUUAGCCUAAUAUACAUUAAAAAAUUGUCACUAUAUAUAUCUAGCUAUCUUGGAGAAUACAGUUUCAAAUAACAGAAUCACACAGGUUUGUAAUUACCUCGAAAUAACUCGCAACCAACUCUGAAGCUUUCCGUCCGGAUAACUCAUGUCCAGCAUCACCGAGGAGCACAAAAGACGCCUGAUCAUCACUAUCAUGCACAGAUAUCUUGGCCAGGUACCUGUGGCAUGUGCAGAGUUAUAAGUAGUGCGUUAAAGUAUAAGAAUAAGUACAGCUGAGUCACUUACUGUGCAUCACCAACAAUUUCGGUUUUCCCACAUUUCCUACACAUAAGGGUGGUAGGCCCUUUGGUUGCCUUAGUGUGGCACCCACCACAGCCUAUGUAAUACCAGGAUGAACCGUGCACAACAUCAGCAAUGGUUGCUAUGCACUCAAACCAAGCAACCUGCAAGAUGUUAAACAAUCAAAUAAGAGACUAAGACUAUCAUAUUGAAUGCGUUAUUCAUUGAUAUUGUAUAACCUUGGCAUCUUCCUGCUUCAUAUAGGAAAAGAGAUCGCCUAUGGUCACUGUCUCAGUCUUGGUAACAACGUCUGCAUUCACUCUGUUGGCAACAGCUAAGUUCGCGUUCAUCCUGAAGCAACCGUCCAAACAUCAAUUACAUCGUGGAAUAACAGCAGCCAAAAUUUAAAUAAAGAACGCUUACAAAGUGAGAUACUCUUCGGUUUCUUGAACAUCAGUGUCUAAAAAUACGCGUGAUGACGUCAUAGAAGAGAGAGCUAGGGCACCUAUAACAGAUCCAUUGUUAUAAUACAUAUGAGAAGUUUUAAUGUAAAAUGAGAUGUAUAAAUAUGUGUAUCUCUCUAUUUGCUAUCUCUGAACCUAUCGGUUACUCAUAGCUAUUAUGCUCCAAUUUAUACCAAAAGCAGUUCUACUACCAAAGCUAAUCUAAGCAGAUAAGAUUCCUUGACCAUCAUAUGUACAUCUUAAACAAUAAAAAAAGAUUACUAAUACGGACCUCCAAAUCGUUUCGGGUUUAGAGUAGUGACCAAAACAACACGUGCGGUUCCUCCAGUUGCUUUAAAUUUCUCACUAAAAUCCGAUGCAACCUUGUCCCAUAGGUACAACUUGAUCACCGGAUCACUAUAACAUAAAAACAUGUGUAUUAAGAGAGACAACAUGUGAAUAUGAAAAAUUACAAAUUAGCUUACUCAUGUGUUUGAACAUGGAGUAGGACGCGGCGUGAUGAAGCUAUCUCGGCAUCAUCUAGCAUGAGACUAUCACUGAGAACCUGCCCAUUCACAAGCUUGAUAUGGCCAACAUAAUCUGCAAGAUAAAAAAACAUACUCAAUGCUUCAUAUAUCAGAAACCCAACAAUGAAACCUAAAAAUUGUAAGUGUAGAUCAAACCAUUAUUCUAGACAAAGAAUCCUGAACAUACUUGAUUGAUUUAAACGCAUUAUAUAAUAGUGGGAACUUACCAUAAAGAUCCCCUUUCAAGUCGCAGGCAGCAUCGAACUCCUCAUAUCCAUGAAUCCGGAACCGGUCCUCAGGGAAACAAACCGGACUGUCCAUUAGAUCAGAGAGGACGGAACUCGAUGAGAAUGUGACGGUGAAACUUGGUUCCGCAACACGAUACAAAGUCUUGUUGUUAGACCCGUAAAAACUGUUGAGUCUGUAAAGGCCACCAACUCUCAAGCGUGCAAAUAAGUGUCUAUCCUCCCAGCUGGGAUGAAACCCUGGAUGACAGUCUCCUGGUUACAUCAGUAAAGAAAAUAAAUCAGAAAUGCAAAACAUGAAAUCUUUGAAACGCAUCAACAACAAUAUUAUAUUUACUGUUCUAUCAACAAAAGCAAACAUUUGCUUUAAAUUCAUAAAAAAUAAAAUAAUAGAACAGUAAGCUUGAAUCUAAAAUGUUUAUCAGCAUCUUGUAUGAACAAUUUCUAAACAAAACUGUAAGCAAGAAUUUGGGCUAUACCUCUUGUCGAUGAGAAGCAUCUCAAGACCGAGAAGCACCUUUGACACAACAUUCCGAGCUUCCCAAAAAUGGAUCAACCGAAACCUCAGCUCGCCGUCAUGAGACCCGUAUUUAACAUCUUUGAAAGCCACCAAUUCGGUAGAGACAAUGGCUUUUCCCCUGACGCUAGAGGAGACAGCGGCUUUGCCUCUAACUCCUGAAGAGACACCAGUCUUCGAGCUGUGAAUGAUCGUAUCUGCAUAGGAAUACAAACGUUUCCAUCAUCAAAAAGGGAACUAAAAAUCCACAAUUUCACAUGCUUUUCUAUUUUCUGUCGUAUAAAAAUUAUCUUUUUUUACAUAAUCAUUUUGUUCAUCGUCAUAGCUUCAUACUCUCUAUUUUUAUGGUAAUCAAACGGACUCUAUAAUUUCAUAAGGAAACGAUAAGGUUUCUUACCAUUGGGGUUCUUCGAUUUAGAUUCACCGAUAAAGACGCCGGAAGAGACAGCGGUUUUGCCGCUGAGUUUAGUCAGACCGGAGGUGACCGACGCUUCGCCUUUAGCUCGCUUAGAGUGGGGAUCGCCUAUUGAGUGGCCGGAUGAGACAUAGGGUGUUCCGAUGGGUUUGAUUGGUCCGGGAGAGGAGUCAGACUCAACGGCUUUUGGUUUUUCAGAGGUGGAUUUUCCGUAGGAACUCAUUGCAACAAAGCUUAAUCGAAAUAAGACUUGGAUCAAGAGUUGUAUAAAAAAAAUCCGAAGGAGAAAAGGCGGAUUAAGAGAUUUAUAAACAAAAUCUGGAGGAGAAAAGCAAAACGAAUCCAUAAAUGAGUGUAAAGAGAAAACGAAGUGGAGGAUGUAUUGAUUGUUUAGGGGGCAGAUCGCGAAACGGAUCGAAGAAGAGGAAGAGCAAAGGGAUGAAGAAUCGACAAAGGGGAUCAAAAAUCAUCUCGGGUAUUAGGGUCUGAGAAAUGCGAAAGAGAGGAUCGAAAUAGUGUGGUCGUGACUUUUUAUUAUGUGUUGGGCUUGAGGCCCAUUCGUAUCAAGUAUGUUUUGUUUUAAAAUAAACACGGUAAGCCCAACAGAGGCAACACACAAUGACAUGGCAAAAAUGGUAUAUCCGAUUGGUUGAUUAAAAUGGCUUACGUGGACAGCCUAGUUGAGGAGGAUAUCCCCCUUUUAUUACUUAUCUGAUUGGCCCAUUUAUAUGAUCUAUAUAAUUUUUUAAAUAGGUAAGAUGUUUUGUAUAUUUGUGUAAAGCCCAAUUCAAUAAGAUAAUAUGUUUGAUUUAAAUUAGGCAUGCGGGUUCGGGUAGUUCGGAAUUAGGAUAUAGUUUGAUUCGACCAAAAUCUGGCCAAAUUAAACUGAAAUUUUUUUGGUUCGGUUUGGUAUUCAGGUAGUUUGGUUUUAAAAAUUUUUACCGAAACUAACCAAAGUUUUUUAGUUUCGAUUAUAUUUCAGUUAAAAUUUGGUUAACUUCAGGUAAUUUUACUGAAACAAAGCAAUUACUGAACCGAGAACCAAAUGUUUUUUUAAACCUCUUGAAUGGAACCGAGCUUCUCACCAAAAUUUCAGUUUGGUUCGGUUCAACAUCUCAGGCCUCAUUUAAAUAGUAACUAAACUUAUGUUUUAAUUAUAUAAAUAACUGAUACCUUCAAAUUAGUGUCAUAAAAUGCCAAUUUACUAAAUUCAUUAUUUUUAUUACUUAUAAAUUUUGAUAAGAUAUUUAAAUAAUAUAUGAGUUACAUACAAAACAAUUUUCAAGUUAAUUGAUCUUUCAAAAUCAUCUAAUAAUCAAACGCAAAUCCAAAUAAGUACUACUAAAUAUAUAAUAAGAACCUACAAAUAUAUAUUGUGACAGUUUGAAACGAUUAAUUAAAUGACAAACAUCUAAACUAUAACAUUAUUGUGUUUACAAAGUCAUGUAAACAUUUUAAGAGAUGGUUGAUGUACAUAUAUUUGCACUAGUAUUAUAAAAAUAAGAAUAUAUAUAUAAAUAUGCAAACGAAUACCCACGGGGUUGCGCGGGUUAAAAUCUAGUUUUAAAUUACAAAACAAAUUUUACUAAUGAUAUGUUUAUGUAUUUUAUGGAGUAGUAGUGAGAUUUUGGGCUUUAAUAUAUCUAUCCCUAAUUCUAGUGUUUAAAUAUAAUAGAUUUUAACAGAACAAGAAUAUGUAAUAUAAUUUUAUCCAUCACAACCUAAAAGCUUAGAUUUGGUUAUUUAUAAUUUUGCAUAAGCUUUUUAUUAAAUAUAUUUCAAAUAAUACUAUCAUAAAAUUUAUAAAAUGUUGUAUGACACAAGUUCACAACAUCUACUAAAAUUUAAAAUAUAAAAACCAAAAUACUAUAAUUUAAAGUAUUUUGUAAAAUAAAUACAAAUAGAUCGAGGAAAUUGGAACACAUAUACAUAACAGAAAAAAUAAGUUUAUACACAUAAUAAUAAAUAUGCUAGAAUAUUAUGUAUAUUUUAUAUAAUUUUACAUUUCUUACCCUUAAUCAACUUCAGCUGUUUGAUCAUCCAUGCAUCUUUCAUCUUCUUCUUGCCUUUUUUCUUCUUUUCUCCUUCUCAAUUUAUUUGAUAUAUAUAUCUUUUGGAUCAAAUAUAUUUCAACCAAAUAUUUAUCUCGGUAAAAACAAACAUAUUUUUUACAUAUUUCAUAAUUUGAAAAAGUGUAAUCUGAUUUUUUAAAACGUAAAUUUCCAGGAUGUACAUAUUGGAAAUCAAAAUUCACUGAAUACCCAUGUAAUAAUAAUGAAGAGCGAUAUGACAUUUUGUCAUCAGAUUUAACCACUUUCACUUUUGUUGCACAAUAAAUCAUAGUUACACUAAUAUAUGUUAUAGUAUAGAUUCAAAAGUUUCAAAUUUAAAAUUAUCUCUCUCACGUGGGAAAAGUGUUGUGAUUUUGGAGAGACUGUUAGCCGCCACAGUGUAUUACGUAACGUUUAGAAACGUUGUUACUAGUAAUCACAAAAAUAAUUCAACAACCAUGUCAAUGUCACUUAUGUUAUUUUGUUAUUUUGUCUGCAACUCUUUCAAUCUAAUCUUCUUGUAUAAAUAUAUUAGAUGAUUAACUGCUCUUAUGAAUGGAGUAAUUUAUAUACUAAUGUUUAUUCAUUAUAUAGUUUUAACAUUUUGUAACAUUACAAUUUUUAUUGAUUGUAAAAUGGCGAAUACAAAUGUUGGUAUCUUAAAUGCAUCAUUGUUGUUGAAGAGGUAACGCUAAUACAACUCAUUUAAUUAUUUUUAAGACUUCAUAUGCACUAAACAAAAUUAAGUUUUACGGCUGACACAAAUCACAAAAACCAGAUAGGCAACAUCGAUUGUAAAAUGACGAAAAAGAUUAGGUUUUGUGCUCUCGAUUUGUUUACUAUUGACUCUCCAUAAGUGAUUUCAUUUGCUACAUUUAUAAAAUUGUGCUUUCAUUUUGUUUCACCAAUAUGAGUUUUGUUUUUUUUUUCUUAACUUCUUCAUUGAAUUCGGUGAAUUACAUAAGUUUUAAUUUAAAAAGAUGGACAUCUGUAAAAAUUAUUUUUAAUCCAUGUAAAUAUCUAAGAAUCAAAAAAUUUGAAGAAAAUCACCGGCAAACUCUAUUCACGGGUUAAUGUUCAAAUCUAAUAUAUCAAGCUGUUAUAAAAUAUAAGUGAUGACUCAAAAUAUAAAUAUUUGUUUAGUAUAUAUUCACAUGUUCAAUCUAAAAAUCAUAUAAUUCUAAACCAACAAAACAUAUUACUUAUUUGAGGUUUAGAUACUUAAGAAUAUACCGAUAAAAAAUACUUUACCAUUCUUGCAUAUGUAAACUUGUAUAAAAUAAGAGAUAUUUGAUUUAUUAAAUGAUAAAUCAGAAAACUUAUAAUAAAUAGUUCAAAUCUUUUAUUCUUACAAUUAUAAUAAUUAGAUAAGGUAUAAGGGAGAAACAAAUAUUAGACGAAUGAUCAAAUCUCUCAUUCUUCGAACAAACUCAAAAUAAAGUGAUUAGAAUCUUGUGACAAAAUGAGAAAAUGAGUUUUUGUAGUUACGGCGGGAAAACUAGUUUUGUGGUUUUGGUGGAAAACACGUUUUUACGAUUUAGGCACAAAAACAUAUUUUUGCGGGAAAACGAGUUUUGCAGUUUUGGCAGGAAAACUCGUUUUGUAGUUUUGGCGGGAAAACAUGUUUUGGCGGAAAACGAGUUUUUGCAGUUUAGGCGGAAAACGCAGUUUUGUGGUUUUGGCAGAAAACGCGGUUUUUCGGUUUUGGUAGGAAACGCGGUUUUGCGGGAAAACUGAUUUUUACAGCCGGAAAAUGCGUUUUUGCGGUUUAGGCGGAAAAAUGUUUUUUUUGCGGUUUUGGCGGGAAAACACGUUUUUUGCGGUUUUGGUGAGAAAACGCACGCGUUUUUACGGAAAAACUAGUUUUUCAGUUUUGGCGGGAAAUUGUGUUUUGUGGUUUUGGCGGGAAAAUGCGUUUUUGCGAUUUUGACGGGAAACAUGUUUUUGCGGGAAAACGAGUUUUUUGCGGUUUUGGCGGUAAAUCACAUUUUUGCGGUUUAGGCGGAAAAUGCGUUUUUUGUUUUGGGGGGGGGGAAUGCGUUUUUGGCGGAAAAAUGUGUGUUUGCGGUUUUGGCGGGAAAACGCGUUUUUCGGUUUUGGCGGGAAAACACAUUUUUGUGGUUUUGGCGGAAAAACUCUUUUUUUUUUUGCGAUUUUGGCGGAAAAACGUGUUUUGCGGUUUUGAAAUUGAAUCGUGGCCUUGGAUGAGAAUUUUGUUUACUAAUGUUUUUUUUAAUUGAAAUCUAAAUGGGUCAGAAUUGACUCAACCCAAUAGACCUAUUUAACUUGUUAACCCAUUAACCUGUUAAUCCAUUAACCUGUUAAUCCGUUAACCUAUUGGAUAAAAAAUAAACAGUUCAUUUGGGUUAAUGGGUCAUCUUAGAUUGGGUGAACCCAUGGGUCAUGACCCAUUUUGACACCCCUAAUCUUAUCAUGAUAUUUCAUUAAGUUUUUUUGGAAUAAAAAACAAGACAAAAAUAUUUAAUAUGAAUGAAAUAAUAUAUAUAUAUAUAUAUAUAUAUAUAGUGCUUCCAAUAUUGAAAAUAACUUCAAUUUAAAAAAAGUGUAUUUCUGGGAUUGACACAUGAUCAAAUAAUAUAUUAGAAAGCAUCUAUUAAAAAAAUAAUUUAUAUACAUAAAAAUAUAUACAUUAGAAUACACACAUAAAUCAAAACAAAUACCUUUUAUUUAUUUACAAUCAUGUUUUUGGUAAAUAAAUAAAACAAUCAUUUUAUUUACUUUAUAUGAUAUAUAAUUAUUAUUUUUGUGAUAUUGACAUAGAUAUAUAUAUAGUAUUUUCAAUAUAAAUAUUUAUCAUUGGCACUUCCUACUCAUAUGAUUUUAUUAAUAUUUGUAUAUUUGUUGUAACAAAAAUUAAAACCUUUAAUCAAACAAAACUUUAUCUGAGAUUUAUCAAUACAAAUUUCAAAAUUAAAAUAUUAAGAUCUCACAAUUUUUCAAUGCAAUUUUUAAAUUUAACAUAUUUUUAUAUAGUAUAUAAUUUAAUUUAAACGAUAUUAAUAUAUAUAUAUAUAUUAAUGAGACUUCAUAUUCAUACGAUUUAUGAUCAUUUUUAUCUUGCUUGAAUAGAAAAAAAUUAAACCAUUGAUCACAAAAUUUUCAGUGUGAGAUUUUUACAAUUUUUAGUAAUUUGUAGUCGUUUUAUAAAAUUUAAAAUAUAACAUAUAAAAAAAAUCUAAUUUUUAAUUAUAUAGUUAAUGUGAUUGUUUAUUUUCUUUUAAUAGUAUAAAAUUAAACAAAAAAAAAGAGAAUAUACAAAAAUUGUUAUCAAAUAUGUAUUAUUCAUAAUCAUUAAUUAUCACAUAUAUGUUAACCAUAUUAAGUAGUUCUGUAGCUUUUAUUUAAAAAAUAAAUUAAGAAUAUUUUUUUGUACACUAACCAGUUUGAUAGUUAGUUUAAUAAAAGAUUUGAAGAAUCGGUGAUGUCAUGCAGGGCCGGCUUGCAAGGGGGGACAAGCGGUGCGACCGCCCCGGGUCCGAGCCCGUGUCCCCACGUGUAAUGAUAAAUAAGGGACCCAAUUUUUUAUAAAUUUAUAUUUUUAUAUAUAAAAAAAUUAUAAAUAUAAUAAAUAAAAUUGAAAAGGGCCCAAAAUUAUUUGAUAUGUAUAUAGUUUUAUUUUCAUUACAAAAUAUACAAAAUAUUAUUGAUUAAAUUUUAAAAAUAUUUUAAACAUUAUCUUUAUAUAAAUUUUAAAGAGUAAAAAAAAUUUUUUUGCCCUAGGGCCCCUAUCACUGUUGAGCCGGCCCUGAUGUCAUGUACUCGAUUCUUCUCUGAUAUAUUAAUAAAAAGUAUAAUAUAUAUAUAUUUACAUGAACCAAUCUUCCAUCAAAAUUCUUCUCUGAUACAGGAUCUCUAGUUUCUAAAUUUUGACCCUAUACGUAAUACGUGUAGUGUCGUACUCAUAUCUCUCUAGCUCUCUCUUCUACGUUUAUGGCAGCGUUAGAGACUGUAGGGCAGUGACAAUUCCACCACUUGCGUGUGUAAGCGGAGAUAGAAUCUUAAAGGGAUCUUAAAAGUAUCUCCCUUUCUUCUUACCCAUCUCUCUCUCUAUUAAUGUUUGGGACUCUCGCUUCCGGAGAACUCGAAACCGCCAGAUUGAGGCGUGAUUUAGGGUUUUCAUGCGGUGGUAUAAGAAUGGAAGGCGAGCAGACGCAGAAACUCGUUGUGGGGUAUGCUCUGACUCCCAAGAAGAAAAAGAGUUUCUUGCAGCCCAAGCUUGAAGUCCUGGCUAGGUAACCAAACAUAACACUAAUGUUACAUACAUAGUUUUCAAAAUUGUGUUACAAUCUUCGAUGUGUUUUCUUGUCCUGAGACGAAUGUUCGUUUGAUUGGCGUAUAAUACUGAACCGACAAUGUGUUUUCUACUUUUAAAAGGAUAUUUAGGACUUUGACAUUUUCACUAGAUUUGGUUCUUGUUUCCUUACUCCUGUUUUGGUAUAGCUAUUGUUUGUUUGCAUGAUUCUAUUGUGGAGGACCAUAGCCACUAGCAAUUGUCUUGUCAUGUGCCAUGUUUUUGUCUUUAGCUUGCUUAGACUUACACUAGUAUACUUGUGGUAUCAGGAACCUUGUUUCUAUGGGAAUAUUCCUUCUUUUUAUCCUUUUGGAUUAGUCUCUGUUGGAGUUUGACUUUACCCUCCUUUAAAAAAAUGCACUUGAUAUUUUUCCUUUUCUGUGGCUUGGAAAUCUUCUUCACCCACAUGGGUUGUUUUAGUUAGAACAAUGACUAACUCUUACUUAAGAUUAUCUCAAACAAGGAUUCUAUAGUUCAACCACAUCCCACAUGGGUGUUUUAGUUAAAACAAUGACUGGUUCUAAUUAAAAAAUAUCAUGUUAAAGAAUCUCUCAAACAAGGAUUUUAUAGUUCAGGGAUAAAUCUUUCUUAGUGAGUCGGUUUGACGUCUGGUCUAGUACUUUUGCUUCUUUCUAAUCACCCCAUAGCUUUCAGGCUUUUUUCUUUUUACAGCAGAGUUUUUGAACAAGUGUUAACAGUACUACUUUUGUGUGUCUAUUUUAGGAGAAAAGGCAUUUGCUUUGUCCCCAUUGAUUUGAACCGUCCACUUUCUGAACAAGGGCCAUUUGAUGUCGUUUUGCAUAAGGUUUGUGAGAAUUAUAAGAAUGCUUUCAACUGAACCUUUUUAAAUAUGUAUUUCUGCUAAAAAUCUUAUGAUUUAUGAUUCUGCAUUUGCAGUUGCUAGGAAAAGAGUGGCAAGAUGUUAUUGAGGUUAGUGGCUGCCUUUUGGUUUGAGAGUAUUUUCCAUGUAAUGAGACUAGUGUGGGAAACACAAUAUCUUGUUUGACAAUCUCAUGUUUGUAGGAUUACCAGCAAAAACACCCGGAAGUGACUGUGCUUGAUCCUCCAGGUGCAAUACAACGUAUACAUAAUCGACAAUCGAUGCUUGAGGGUUUGGCAGAUUUGAACCUGUCUGAUUGCAGUGGUAAUCAUUCACAUUUGUUAUUUAUACAUUAAGAUCAACCACUUUUGUAAAUUUCUCUAUAAGUGAUUUUGGUAAAUCUUUGUAGGCAACAUUUUUGUUCCAAAGCAAAUGGUUGUCUUGAAAGAUUCAGCAUCUAGUGCUGAUAGAGCCGUAGAAGCUGGUCUUAAAUUUCCAUUAGGUAGAAAAAAUUUCAACAUAUAUAUUAUUUCCAAUAAACUUGGUCUAAACUUGAUUCUUGUAACUUUGUUCCAGUUGCAAAGCCACUCUGGAUCGAUGGAACUGCAAAAUCACAUCAGUUGUUCUUAGCUUAUGACAAGCGCUCGCUUGCAGAACUUGAUCCACCUUUAGUCCUGCAAGAGUUUGUUAAUCAUGGUACUAUUGUGUUUUACGUUACACUUUAGUAUGCAAUUGUCUCAAACUAUAGUAUGCAUCCUAAAUUCACUUUUUGGUGUCUCAAGGUGGAGUUAUGUUCAAGGUUUUUGUGGUGGGUGAUACUAUAAAAGUUGUGAGACGAUUCUCUCUACCGAAUAUUAGUAAUUGUGAAAAAGCCAAAGUUGAUGGCGUCUUCCAGUUCCCAAGGGUUUCAUCUGCUGCUGCUUCAGCCGAUAACGCUGACUUGGACCCUAGUGUUGCUGAGCUACCUCCAAAGCCUUUCCUAGAGGCCCUUGCAAAAGAGCUACGAAUCUUAUUGGUAUAUAAACUUGCUGCUUCUUCACAUUUUUUUUGCCAAUCAAGUCUGUUUUGUUUUAAGUUGUUGAUGCUUUGUUUUGAAUAGGGACUUCGGCUUUUCAACAUAGACAUGAUCAGGGAACAUGGGAGCAAGAACGUGUUUUAUGUUAUUGACAUCAAUUAUUUUCCUGGUUUGUAUUUGAAGCUUUUCUGUACGUAGUGUGAAUAUGAUUUUGUCAGAUAGAUGAACUUAUAGUCUUUGAAAUUACAUUUACAGGUUAUGCAAAGAUGCCAGAUUAUGAGCAAGUUUUUGUAGAUUUCUUCCACGAUAUGGCGCAAGUCAAACAGAAGAAGAGACAUUGUAAAUGAAGAGCCUCUGAACUCAUGCAAGGAGCUGUGAGAAAAGUAUAAUGACUAAACUAAUGAUGGAUUUGUACAGAAUUAGCUCUCAUCCCUUUUGGAAGCUUUAUGAGAUGACAAGUUUUGAUUAGUGAUUCUGAGUAUUUUUUCAACAACUCAAAACGUUUUAGAGAAGUUGCUAAGGAUUCGAAAAAAAAAGGAAAAAAAAAUUGCUAUAGGAUUCAUUUUACCACAAAAAGUCAUCCUCAAUAUUAGGCCUUACUCCUUAGCAAUUGUCAUUGAACCCGAAAUCUGAACCAAACACUAGCAAGGAAACUUAAAGAUUCAAUCUGCAAAAUAUAUAUUAUGUAAAAUGGUAUUUUGAAUUACGAAUAUUAUCCAAACUGGAAAUGAAUCCAAAAGAUACUCAAAAAAUUUGAAAAACCAAAAAAAAAAACUUGAUCUAAAAAUUGAAAUUAGUAUCCAAAUAAAUAGUGAAAACAUAAAUAAAUAUUUCAAAUAUUUAGUUUUAUGUUUAUUUUGACAUGAUCGAAAUAUUAUUGACUGGAAUCGAAUGAGUUCAGAUCCAGAAUAGAUAUCUGGCAUAGAUAAAUUUAGUUGAAUCCAAAUUAUUAUUAACCAAACAUGAUUCAUACUUGAAUGGGAUGGGACAUGACAUACGAGGCAAAAUCAGUAUGGCCAACAGAAUUUCGGUUAGUUACAUAAACCAAACCAAACUAAACCAAAUAAACCGGUUCAAUCAAAUUUGAUUUCGUCAACUCUUACUCUCUUUCUAAAACGCAAUCCUUAAACCUCUUCAUCUCUUAGCUACUCCUCCCAGCAAUGUCUCUCCUCCUCCGAACUCUCCCUCUCCGACCUUCCCUUUUCCUCUCCGCCACCGCCAACGCCGCCGUUCUCUUCCUCUUACCCAAACUGAGAAACCCACUUCCCCGAACCCGAAGAGCCUUCUCCAACUCCACCGCCGCAGCCACCUCCAUCGACUCCGUAGUGAAACCGCCUCCUCCUCCUCUUCCUCCGUCGGUUCUCAGGUGGGUUUCUCGCACAGAGCUUUGCGGUGAGUUAUCAGCCGAAGACGUUGGAAAAAGAGUCCACCUUUGCGGGUGGGUCGCCCUCCACCGAGUCCACGGAGGUCUCACUUUCCUUAACCUUAGAGAUCAUUCCGGCAUUGUCCAGG
This 19147-nucleotide long non-coding RNA is filed under the name Brassica rapa (field mustard). RNAcentral's name for it is "long non-coding RNA (BRAP_LNC006003)". Lineage: Eukaryota; Viridiplantae; Streptophyta; Magnoliopsida; Brassicales; Brassicaceae. The record is from RNAcentral.